GACGAACGCUGGCGGCGUGCUUAACACAUGCAAGUCGAACGAAGAGCGAUGGAAGCUUGCUUCUAUCAAUCUUAGUGGCGAACGGGUGAGUAACGCGUAAUCAACCUGCCCUUCAGAGGGGGACAACAGUUGGAAACGACUGCUAAUACCGCAUACGAUCUAAUCUCGGCAUCGAGGAAAGAUGAAAGGUGGCCUCUAUGUAUAAGCUAUCACUGAAGGAGGGGAUUGCGUCUGAUUAGCUAGUUGGAGGGGUAACGGCCCACCAAGGCGAUGAUCAGUAGCCGGUCUGAGAGGAUGAACGGCCACAUUGGGACUGAGACACGGCCCAGACUCCUACGGGAGGCAGCAGUGGGGAAUCUUCCGCAAUGGACGAAAGUCUGACGGAGCAACGCCGCGUGAGUGAUGACGGCCUUCGGGUUGUAAGGCUCUGUUAAUCGGGACGAAAGGCCUUCUUGCGAACAGUUAGAA
Molecule: ribosomal RNA, 468 nt
Filed under: Veillonella dispar
Lineage: Bacteria; Bacillati; Bacillota; Negativicutes; Veillonellales; Veillonellaceae
Description: bacterial SSU rRNA
Rfam family: Bacterial small subunit ribosomal RNA
Source: RNAcentral